RNAcentral lists this ribosomal RNA (492 nucleotides) under uncultured bacterium. RNAcentral describes it as "partial 16S ribosomal RNA". It matches the Rfam family "Bacterial small subunit ribosomal RNA", at positions 29 to 507 of the family's 1533-position model. The record is from RNAcentral.
AGUGAACGCUGGCGGUAGGCCUAACACAUGCAAGUCGAACGGCAGCACAGUAAGAGCUUGCUCUUACGGGUGGCGAGUGGCGGACGGGUGAGGAAUACAUCGGAAUCUACUUUUUCGUGGGGGAUAACGUAGGGAAACUUACGCUAAUACCGCAUACGACCUACGGGUGAAAGCAGGGGAUCUUGGGAGCUUGCGCGAUUGAAUGAGCCGAUGUCGGAUUAGCUAGUUGGCGGGGUAAAGGCACACCAAGGCGACGAUCCGUAGCUGGUCUGAGAGGAUGAUCAGCCACACUGGAACUGAGACACGGUCCAGACUCCUACGGGAGGCAGCAGUGGGGAAUAUUGGACAAUGGGCGCAAGCCUGAUCCAGCCAUACCGCGUGGGUGAAGAAGGCCUUCGGGUUGUAAAGCCCUUUUGUUGGGAAAGAAAAGCAGCAGGUUAAUACCCCGCUGUUCUGACGGUACCCAAAGAAUAAGCACCGGCUAACUUCGUG